This is a non-coding RNA of Protopterus annectens (West African lungfish), 615 nucleotides long. The record is from the annotation of a RefSeq genome assembly. Lineage: Eukaryota; Metazoa; Chordata; Ceratodontiformes; Protopteridae.
AGGAAAGCCUCUCAAUGAGCAAAAGCUUCUGGUUUAAGUCCCAGAGUUCCUGACAAACAAUGUACCACAACUUCAUAUACAUCUGCACUUUUAUUUUGUUUUUUUACAAGAAAUCUUCUGGCAAUUCUGUAAACCAGGCAGGAAUGUCAGCAGCUUUUGAGGGAGAAAACAUCACUUUAGACUGCUCGUAUAAUGUAGAUGCAUACUACAUGUUCUGGUACAUCCAAGAUUCCCAAGGACCACCUGAAUUCCUACUUCAGGAUUACAUGAAGCCUGAAAACUAUGCUCCGAGGAUUCGUGGAAGAGCAGAAGCUGUUAUAAACAAAACCAGCAAAACGUUUCCCCUCACACUGUCUAAACUGAAGCUGUCUGAUGCGGCUGUGUACUUCUGUGUGCUGAGUCCUCACAGUGUGUGAGAAACAGAGUCCCUCAUACAAAAUAUAGGAAGCACUGCGUAAAACAUCAGUGACACAUGACAGUUCCCUGACAGAUAAAGAAUGCAUUGUGCCACAAUAGCUUCAUUUCACUGAUUGCCUAGUGUUUACCUAUGAGAGGUAGCUGCUGGGCUCUAUUAAAAUGUCUUAAUUAAAUAAAAGUUGGAGAAAGAAAAGAGUU